This 442-nucleotide ribosomal RNA is filed under the name uncultured bacterium. RNAcentral describes it as "partial 16S ribosomal RNA". It matches the Rfam family "Bacterial small subunit ribosomal RNA", at positions 338 to 795 of the family's 1533-position model. The record is from RNAcentral.
CCUACGGGUGGCAGCAGUGGGGAAUAUUGGGCAAUGGACGCAAGUCUGACCCAGCAACGCCGCGUGAAGGAAGAAGGCUUUCGGGUUGUAAACUUCUUUUAAUGGGGAAGAGCAGAAGACGGUACCCCUUGAAUCAGCCACGGCUUACUACGUGACAGCAGCCGCGGUAAUACGUAGGUGGCAAGCGUUGUCCGGAUUUACUGGGUGUACAGGGCGUGUAGCCGGAGAUGCAAGUCAGAUGUGAAAUCCACGGGCUCAACCCGUGAACUGCAUUUGAAAAUGUUUGCCUUGAGUGUCGGAGAGGUAAUCGGAAUGCCUUGUGUAGCGGUGAAAUGCGUAGAUAUAAGGCAGAACACCAGUGGCGAAGGCGGAUUACUGGACGAUAACUGACGGUGAGGCGCGAAAGCGUGGGGAGCAAACAGGAUUAGAUACCCCUGUAGUC